RNAcentral lists this long non-coding RNA (1060 nucleotides) under Serinus canaria (Common canary). Its description in RNAcentral is "lncRNA (ENSSCAG00000017010.1)". Lineage: Eukaryota; Metazoa; Chordata; Aves; Passeriformes; Fringillidae. The record is from RNAcentral.
CAAACCUGUUGGUAAGCAACCGCCAGACCACAUUCCAAACAAUCAGAUAAUUAUUUACAUUUCUUUUCUGAGGCUUCUUAUCUUCUCAGGAGAAAAAUUCUGGGCAAAGAUUUUUCAAAAAAUAUCACAGUGACAGAACACGAGUGUACUUUUAGCUCAGGGUAGGUGAGAGGCUGUGAGGGGCAGCAAAGGAGACACAACACAACCCAGCAGCAGAGGCCGGGUCAUUGUGGGCUAAUGGAAGGUGCUCACUGGCCUCCGACCCCAUGAAAUCCCAAUUUUGCCCAUUCAAUUCAGGCAGUUUUGACCCCACCGUUCACGGGUUUUCUCCCCGAGAUGGAGGGGGAAGCUCUGGCCCCGCUGCCACGAGAGGGCUCUGCUCUGUCAGCAAGGCAGAGCCGAGUUCCUCCUCCAGCCCCAUCCAAUCCAGGAUUCGUCAUUUCGGGCACGAGCAGGAUCUUCAGGUCCGGGUUUUUCUGAGGCAAAGCUCUGAAAUGCCACAAAUGUGUGGCAUCCAACGAGAACGACUGCAACCAGCAGGGAUCCCACAGCUGCCCCCAGUACGCCGACGCCUGCUCCACCAUCACUGCACCCAGUGAGCGCCUUGGCUGGGGGGCCUGGGGGCUCCAGAGGGAAAGGGGGGAGGACCAGAGGGUCUUGGAGGGGACCAGAGGGGCUGAGGAGCAGAGGGCGAGGAGAACCAGGGGGACCUGAGGCGGGAGCAGGAGGUGACUUCUACUUGUGGGGAGGAGAGAGAUGCUUUAAUUCCGCCCAGGUACCGGACUGAGAGGUUCUUCCUCUUGUGCCCGUGAAACCCGCGGAUCCCGGCAGUGCCUGACCCUCUGUCGCCUUGCCUUUCCUUGCAGACAGCAUCAUUAAAUCCUGCUCCUACAAGUCCUUCUGUGACCAGGCGCGCCGCGGCGGCUCCGGCGGGGCCACCGUGCGCUGCUGCUUCAGCGACGACUGCAACGGGCCGGCUCGGGGCUCCCGCAACGGCGGGGGGACCACCCUGCCACCCCCGGCGGGCCUGCUGGCCACGGUGCUGGCCGGGACACUGCUG